UAUCAAUAAGCGGAGGAAAAGAAAUUACCAAGGAUUCCCUUAGUAACUGCGAGUGAAGCGGGAAAAGCUCAAAUUUAAAAUCUGGUAGUCUCUGGCUGCCCGAGUUGUAAUCUGGAGAAGUGUUUUCUGUGCUGGGCCGUGUACAAGUCUCUUGGAAUAGAGCGUCAUAGAGGGUGAGAAUCCCGUCUUUGACACGGACAUCCAGUGCUCUGUGAUGCACUCUCAAAGAGUCGAGUUGUUUGGGAAUGCAGCUCAAAAUGGGUGGUAAAUUCCAUCUAAAGCUAAAUAUUGGCAAGAGACCGAUAGCGAACAAGUACCGUGAGGGAAAGAUGAAAAGAACUUUGGAAAGAGAGUUAAACAGUACGUGAAAUUGUUGAAAGGGAAACGCUUGAAGUCAGUCGCGUCUAGCAAGGAUCAGCCCUUCUCGGAGGGUGUAUUUCUUGCUUGACGGGUCAACAUCAAUUUUGACUACUGGAAAAAGGCCAGGGGAAGGUGGCACCUUCGGGUGUGUUAUAGCCUUUGGUCAUAUACAGUAGUUGGGAUUGAGG
RNAcentral lists this ribosomal RNA (548 nucleotides) under Agroathelia delphinii. RNAcentral's name for it is "eukaryotic LSU rRNA". It matches the Rfam family "Eukaryotic large subunit ribosomal RNA", at positions 41 to 591 of the family's 3401-position model. Lineage: Eukaryota; Fungi; Basidiomycota; Agaricomycetes; Amylocorticiales; Amylocorticiaceae. The record is from RNAcentral.